Non-coding RNA from Chlorocebus sabaeus (green monkey), 446 nucleotides. NCBI's taxonomy places the organism in Eukaryota, Metazoa, Chordata, Mammalia, Primates, Cercopithecidae. The record is from RefSeq and is a predicted model, not a curated record.
UCAUGAACCAGGCGACCAGUGCUGAACACAGUGUGCUGGGAGGGGCUGCUCAUUAGCAUAUGUGAAAAGCCAGAUAAGAGCUAGAGGAAGGUGGAAAGGAAAUAGUCUCCGAGACUGCUUGUGACCUUAAGAAGCCAAAGAUGAAUUGUGCAUCUGGCAGGAAGAAAAAGAUUCUGGAUUGCGGAGAAGCAUGUCUGUGUCCACCACCCAACUACCCCCACCCCCACCUGAGUUGGGUUCCUACUGGCAGAGUGAGAAACCACCUUUGUUCAUUGGAAAGCUUCCUUCAGAGAUGUCUGAGGUCUUGACAAGGCCCAGGGAAUGAAGCUGUGUCUGGAAUGUUCCUCACACAAGCCUGGUGCUCACAGGGAGCCAGCGAUCAGCCUCCGCUUUCCUGGAUCUCACUCUGUCACCCCGGCUGGAGUUCAGUGGUGCGAUCUCGGCUC